This 510-nucleotide ribosomal RNA is filed under the name uncultured bacterium. RNAcentral describes it as "bacterial SSU rRNA". It matches the Rfam family "Bacterial small subunit ribosomal RNA", at positions 26 to 518 of the family's 1533-position model. The record is from RNAcentral.
AGGACGAACGCUGGCGGCGUGCUUAACACAUGCAAGUCGAACGGGGCGAAGAGGAGCUUGCUCUCCUAGCCUAGUGGCAAACGGGUGAGUAACGCGUAGGCAACCUGCCCUCAGAUGGGGACAACAUUUCGAAGGAAUGCUAAUACCGAAUGACGUGCAUUGGUCGCAUGACCGAUGUACCAAAGGCCGGGCAACCGGUCACUGAAGGAUGGGCCUGCGUCUGAUUAGCUAGUUGGUGGGGUAACGGCUCACCAAGGCGACGAUCAGUAGCCGGUCUGAGAGGAUGAACGGCCACAUUGGGACUGAGACACGGCCCAAACUCCUACGGGAGGCAGCAGUGGGGAAUCUUCCGCAAUGGGCGCAAGCCUGACGGAGCAACGCCGCGUGAGUGAAAGAAGGUUUUCGGAUCGUAAAGCUCUGUUGUCAGGGACGAGAGACUUGAUCAGGAAAUGGGUCAAGGAGGACGGUACCUGACGAGAAAGCCACGGCUAACUACGUGCCAGCCGCCGC